Molecule: long non-coding RNA, 609 nt
Filed under: Homo sapiens (human)
Lineage: Eukaryota; Metazoa; Chordata; Mammalia; Primates; Hominidae
Description: non-protein coding PVT1:66
Rfam family: Pvt1 oncogene conserved region 3 (bases 6-100)
Source: RNAcentral
GAUGCCCCUCAAGAUGGCUGUGCCUGUCAGCUGCAUGGAGCUUCGUUCAAGUAUUUUCUGAGCCUGAUGGAUUUACAGUGAUCUUCAGUGGUCUGGGGAAUAACGCUGGUGGAACCAUGCACUGGAAUGACACACGCCCGGCACAUUUCAGGAUACUAAAAGUGGUUUUAAGGGAGGCUGUGGCUGAAUGCCUCAUGGAUUCUUACAGCUUGGAUGUCCAUGGGGGACGAAGGACUGCAGCUGGCUGAGAGGGUUGAGAUCUCUGUUUACUUAGAUCUCUGCCAACUUCCUUUGGGUCUCCCUAUGGAAUGUAAGACCCCGACUCUUCCUGGUGAAGCAUCUGAUGCACGUUCCAUCCGGCGCUCAGCUGGGCUUGAGGACUUCGCAGGUGAGCAGUAACGGAAAUCAGCCCCGUUUAUUCCUCCCAGCACCUGCCUUAUCCAACUCCCCACGCUGUGGCUGAGUCCCAGCCUGCUAUGGAAGCAUCACUGGACUCCCAUUGAACUCUGUGCAGAUUCGCUGUUCGUAGACAUGGUACCUGAUGGACACCAAGCUACGUACAGCUUCAAGGCCCCUUCUUUCUUUGCUAAUAAAAAAUAAAAAAUAAAA